AGGCUUAACACAUGCAAGUCGAACGAGAAAGCACUUUCGGGUGUGAGUAUAGUGGCAAACGGGUGAGUAACACGUGGGAACGUACCUUGAAGUACAGAAUAGCCCCGGGAAACUGGGAUUAAUACUGUAUAUUCUCUACGGAGGAAAGAUUUAUCGCUUCAAGAUCGGCCCGCGCCUGAUUAGCUAGUUGGUGAGGUAAUGGCUCACCAAGGCAAUGAUCAGUAGCUGGUUUGAGAGGAUGAUCAGCCACACUGGAACUUAGACACGGUCCAGACUCCUACGGGAGGCAGCAGUGAGGAAUAUUGGACAAUGGGCGCAAGCCUGAUCCAGCCAUGCCGCGUGAGUGAUGAAGGCCCUAGGGUUGUAAAACUCUUUUAGUGGGGAAGAUAAUGACGGUACCCACAGAAAAAGCACCGGCUAACUUCGUGCCAGCAGCCGCGGUAAUACGAAGGGUGCUAGCGUUACUCGGAAUUACUGGGCGUAAAGCGCAUGUAGGCGGACUUUCAAGUCAGGGGUGAAAUCCCGAGGCUCAACCUCGGAAUUGCCUCUGAAACUGUGAGUCUUGAGUAUGAUAGAGGAUAGUGGAAUUCCUAGUGUAGAGGUGAAAUUCGUAGAUAUUAGGAGGAACACCAGUGGCGAAGGCGACUAUCUGGGUCAUUACUGACGCUGAGAUGCGAAAGCGUGGGGAGCAAACGGGAUUAGAUACCCCGGUAGUCCACGCCGUAAACGAUGAGUGCUAGUUGUUGGAAUUUUUCAGUGACACAGCUAACGCGUUAAGCACUCCGCCUGGGGAGUACGGU
This 800-nucleotide ribosomal RNA is filed under the name uncultured bacterium. RNAcentral's name for it is "bacterial SSU rRNA". It matches the Rfam family "Bacterial small subunit ribosomal RNA", at positions 44 to 886 of the family's 1533-position model. The record is from RNAcentral.